This is a long non-coding RNA of Brachypodium distachyon (stiff brome), 1026 nucleotides long. RefSeq lists it as uncharacterized. The record is from RefSeq and is a predicted model, not a curated record. The transcript has 6 exons. NCBI's taxonomy places the organism in Eukaryota, Viridiplantae, Streptophyta, Magnoliopsida, Poales, Poaceae.
UGAAGGUAAUAAUUUUGAUGUACAUUCUUCUAUAAAGAUUAUUGUUCCAGAAGCACUUGGGCUGCUGAAGGACUCAUGUGCUACAGCUCCAAGAAUUCCACAAGUUCCUGAGAAGAGAAAGCUGAAGAAAGCAAUUGCCUUCAGCUAAAUAGCAGUCAUGUGUUGUCAUAUUUAGUUCAUGGGUACAUUAACUUAUUGAAACAAUUUUGGUACUAGGGGUCCACGACCACAACAAUUAGGUGAGGAGAAGGAAAAGGAAGAUGACGGUGCUGGUUCAGCAUCAAAUACUCAUGUUCCAGUCCAAUCAAAACAACCUUUGAAGUACCUAGAGCACCAGUUGUUGAUGUGCCUUUAACAGGGACCGGUCGAAGUCAACAAGAAAUAGAAGGAGACUUGUGAGAACAAUUGUAAUGUUGGUCAGGCUGUGACAGGACAAUCGGAAAGUACGAAUUGUGGGAAUGUGAAUGACUUAGUUAACACUUUGUUGAUGACACCACAAGUGGAGGAAAAACUGCCAGCCCCCGGACGGUCCUGUUUUUGAUCAAACACCUCAAGCAGAAGGGAAGGCUGAAUGUACUUUUGCUAAUGACAUGUGGGUGGACAAAGAAGCGGAGGAUCCAACAGAUGAAAUCUCACAUAUGAAGGUGUACGAAAGAAGGAAAUUGAGGACGAAGAGAUUGAACAGGUUGGAGGAAGGGGGGAGCACAACAGUUUGCAAGGAAGGGGCAAAGACUGUGUAGUCUGUUUAAGCUGUAUUGUACCAGCCCACUACUUUUUAGGAUGAUUUAAGGAAGUAUGUUGACGUUUUGAGGUACCUAAGUACUGAUAUGGAUGUUGGAACAACCAUGCCGGAUGAACUUGAUUUGUUUUAUUUCGUAUUAUGCUAUUGUUUAGUACGUAUUGUUGUGGUUAUGACAAUGGCACCUGUUUGUUGGUUUCGAUUGUUGUAGAACUUAUCGCCGUAGUUGUACAGCGAUGUAGUGAAGUACUUUGUGGAUAUGCAGAAAGUAUAUUCGUGUUUGGUAA